This is a non-coding RNA of Cricetulus griseus (Chinese hamster), 517 nucleotides long. The record is from RefSeq and is a predicted model, not a curated record. Lineage: Eukaryota; Metazoa; Chordata; Mammalia; Rodentia; Cricetidae.
UGUGUGUGUGUGUGUGUGUUGGCGGAAGGCGGUGCCUCUGCCUUGCUACCAGCUGGUGUCUUGCUUCAGUUACAGGGAUGUGACAGCAGGUUAGAUGUGAGCUCCUUCAAAUUUCUGUGCACAUUCCUAGUUUCGAGCUUGAAAACUACAGUACUUCCGGUAACAUUUUUCUUUUUCUGCUUAUAGACAGUUUCUCUAAGAUACUAUGCAAUAAGAACUUGCUGAGUUCCUGUCUACAUCCACCAUGGGGUGAAGGUGCCUCUAUGGAGAUGGAGGAGGUUUAUGGAUCUGUGGGGGUGCUCGUUGGGAACCCUAGGCUGAAGGAUGUGCUCAGCGCCAUCACAAGCACAGAGGAGAGAGCGGAAGGGGAGAGGAACCCGCUUAAGGGAGUAGGAGUGGGUACUGAAAACCAUCUCGAGGAUAACCAAAGGCUGCUGGAGCAGAAUCAUCGUGAGCUCGUUCUUGUGGAUAAACAUGUUGAUUUCUGGGAAUAAAUCACAUAUGUCUGGUCUACUCA